This is a long non-coding RNA of Papaver somniferum (opium poppy), 1997 nucleotides long. RefSeq lists it as uncharacterized. The record is from RefSeq and is a predicted model, not a curated record. The transcript has 6 exons. Lineage: Eukaryota; Viridiplantae; Streptophyta; Magnoliopsida; Ranunculales; Papaveraceae.
AGCCACGUUGGAUUUAUGUUUCCUCUCUCCUUCAAUGGAAGACCAAAAGAAAAAAACGCACCAAAGUAAUUCAUUGUCUCGGCCGUUUCAAAUAUCUUGGCAAUCGAUGGGAUUUAUCUGCAAUCAAUGGAAUUGAAGUCGUCUCUUUUUCUUUGCAAUCACUACAAUGGAAUCUUAUAAACCGAAACGCAUAAAGAUUUUUUGCAGUGGAUCCAUUAAUCCCAGACAUUUGCUGGAGGUGGCGUUGGACAGAGAUCUAAAUUACAGACAUGAAGAAGGGCUGGGAUAGAUCCUAGGUUUUAAGCUUUUUAUUCACCCAUCUCAAUCUCAGCCAUUGUCCCGAAUUAAUGAAAUUUCAUUCAUAAUUGCAAGCCGUUUCUCUUCUUCUUACUCAUUAAAGCGCAAUUCAUGGAUUGUACAAAACAAAGUACAAACCAGAGAACAAAGCCUUUUCUCCUUUUCACUGAUGCAAUUCCAAGGCUCUCAGAAUAGAUAUGAAAAUUCUCCAGAUUGAAGGUUUAACGAAGCUCUUCUGAUCAUUAUGGUACCGACUACAGUAAGAAAGCAGUGCAGUUAAAUGUCUAGGAAAAAAAGAAAGGGAUUAGAUGUUUUAUCCGAAGCAAGCGCUACUACUUUGUUUCCCUAUGUGGCUGGAUAAAAUUCUUUAUUGUGUUUGUCUUCUCUUAUACACAAAGGUUUGAUCGAUCUUUGAGUGACUUUAUGUUUAAUUAGGUAUAUUUGGGCAUGAUAUUUGUAUUGGCAUUCUCGGACAUGCAAGGUUCAGUCAAACAAUGACAUAAAGCAGUAUUUUUCCUGAGACUAAUGUAGCAUACCCCAUAUUUAUGCAGAUUCAAUUGUCACCUGUAAGACAAGUUCUAUGUGGUGUUUGAAAUUUAGAGAUAUGUAAAGUGAACACUAGAGCUAAUCCUUUCGCUUUUUGUAUAGUUCUGUAAUGCUAUUUUUUAGUUUUUCAAUGAUAAUUAACAACUAAGAAAUGUGGUUGAAAGGUACACUUGCGUUUAACGAGUGUUCUAUGUUUUAUGGGUUUUUUGUGAUUAAGCAGAAUUCAGUAUAUUUUUUAUUGACUUUAUAAAAGGUACCAUUAACGGCAAAAACAAAAGUAUAUGGUCUCAGAAAAGGGUAGCUAUGGCUACCGCAGGUUUGUUAUUUUAUUUCAAGCAGGAUGAUUAAUUUUCAUGCUUCUAUUCAGUAAUUUAUAUUUGGGUAAUAUGACAAGUCAUCUAAUAGAGUUCAAUGUUCAGGCUCAUGCUGGAAUACUCGGUUACCGGGACUUAAAUUCUUUGCCCCCAACUCGAAAUUUAGUUGGUGAUUUUUCCUAAAUCCCAGCUCAAGAAAGAGGUUCUUGGGGACAAUUCACUUCUAUGCUAAGCGCAUUUUCUCUACUGCAUCACAGAAAUGGCAGGUUUAAUGAAGCUAUGGAUGAGCCAGUUAUACUAAGGAAGAAGGCAAACGUCAAAGAAAUGGGAAAGGGAUUAGUUCUCUCAGUCUCACCUGAGGUUCAAGUUAGAUGCUAUUGGAUGGUUUCACCUUUUUACAGUUCAAGAGAUUUUCAUAAUGACAUACUUUUGAGUUAUGCAACUCAGUAAAAAAGUUGUUCACGAUGGCUAAGAGUUAUCGAUCCUGCUAUCCUAUAAAUUUGCUACUUAAUUUGGGUUACAAUAAUCUUCCAGACCAGAAAUGGUUGUAUUUUACAACAAAUACGUCAGACUUGGUCGAAAAUGAUUAUUCUUUCUAUCAUCUAACCAGCAUAUGGGUCUAAGCUAUGUCUAACGCUCAUCGUUCAUAUUAUAGUUGCAUUAGAGAAGUGUAAUCAUCCAUGUUACUAACAGGUUCACCCAUCAUAGCUGAGAGUCUAGCUGCAGUAGCUACCAUCAAGUGGGCAACAGAAAAACUUAAAAUUCGUCAGUUUGCCAUAGCAUGUUUCAGUUAGUAGACGAUUAAGUUUUAUUGAAAGCUUUCGAAUGUUGUGGAACAAA